GACAGGGCCAGAGGGAAAGGAGAUUUGAUUGUUUCUGCAGUGGCGACCGCAUUCUUGGAAUUCUUAAGAGUGCAAUGACUUUCAUCCUAGAGAACCUAGUGCAGGAGAGGGGAGAACAGACCAGAGCUGACCGGGAGCCACGCUGAGGCCAGGGAGGCCUCACAGCUCCCGUGCAGGUUGCCUGAGGCUCCAGGAAUCUCUGCUGAGGAGGGGCUGGUGCAGUCCAGCCGGGUAGCAGGAAUUACCAGCUGAAAAACAAUGCGGAGAUGUCAGCCAUGGCGUGACAAAGGCUUCUGCCAACACGUCUGCCCGUGGACCCAGGCCUGUCACUUUUCCGAUCGGUAAUAAGCUGGUUUCAAUGGUGAUGCCCUCUAACUCCGGUUCCACCGAACCUGCAAUUAACUGGAAUAGAUUUUCCUUCCCCUUUUACAACUACUAUAAGAAAACAGUCGAAUUACAUGCAAAUACAAUGCUCUUAGGAAUGUCUGUUUAAACUGUGUAAGAUUUGAGCAUCUAUUGAAUGAAAGGAACAACCAGUAUUAGGGGAAGGGUGCAGCAGGGGAAGGCCCUCCAACUCCGUCUGAGGCUCUGAGGAGCUCUGGGGCCUGCAGGACACCAGUUCUUCCAGUUGGUUUCUGGUUCCCUGCAGUGGGGUUCCCCAGGGCCCCUUCCAGCCCUACUGAAGCAGAAUGUCUGAAAGUGAGGCCUGCAGGGCUGAAGAGUUAAAAUUCCGAUGCACCCAAAUGCU
Molecule: long non-coding RNA, 748 nt
Organism: Cercocebus atys (sooty mangabey)
Lineage: Eukaryota; Metazoa; Chordata; Mammalia; Primates; Cercopithecidae
Exons: 3
Source: RefSeq, a predicted model, not a curated record